CCGGCCGGCGACCGGCGCACGGGUGAGUAACACGUAUGCAACCUGGCCGUGACAGAUGGAUAACCGGGAGAAAUCCCGCCUAAUACAACAUAAUGCCGGGAGGGGACAUCCCCUGCCGGCCAAAGGGGGCGACCCCGGUCACGGAUGGGCAUGCGGCGCAUUAGGUAGUUGGUGGGGCAACGGCCCACCAAGCCGACGAUGCGUAGGGGUUCUGAGAGGAAGGUCCCCCACAUUGGAACUGAGACACGGUCCAAACUCCUACGGGAGGCAGCAG
Molecule: ribosomal RNA, 274 nt
Filed under: uncultured bacterium
Lineage: Bacteria
Description: partial 16S ribosomal RNA
Rfam family: Bacterial small subunit ribosomal RNA
Source: RNAcentral